GACGAACGCUGGCGGCGUGCCUAAUACAUGCAAGUAGAACGCUGAGGAGAGGAGCUUGCUCUUCUUGGAUGAGUUGCGAACGGGUGAGUAACGCGUAGGUAACCUGCCUUGUAGCGGGGGAUAACUAUUGGAAACGAUAGCUAAUACCGCAUAACAAUGGAUGACACAUGUCAUUUAUUUGAAAGGGGCAAUUGCUCCACUACAAGAUGGACCUGCGUUGUAUUAGCUAGUAGGUGAGGUAAUGGCUCACCUAGGCGACGAUACAUAGCCGACCUGAGAGGGUGAUCGGCCACACUGGGACUGAGACACGGCCCAGACUCCUACGGGAGGCAGCAGUAGGGAAUCUUCGGCAAUGGGGGCAACCCUGACCGAGCAACGCCGCGUGAGUGAAGAAGGUUUUCGGAUCGUAAAGCUCUGUUGUAAGUCAAGAACGGGUGUGAGAGUGGAAAGUUCACACUGUGACGGUAGCUUACCAGAAAGAGACGGCUAACUACGUG
Molecule: ribosomal RNA, 497 nt
Filed under: uncultured bacterium
Lineage: Bacteria
Description: partial 16S ribosomal RNA
Rfam family: Bacterial small subunit ribosomal RNA
Source: RNAcentral